UACGGGGGGGGCAAGCGUUGUUCGGAAUUACUGGGCGUAAAGGGCUCGUAGGCGGCCAACUAAGUCAUACGUGAAAUCCCUCGGCUUAACCGGGGAACUGCGUCUGAUACUGGAUGGCUUGAGUUCGGGAGAGGGAUGCGGAAUUCCAGGUGUAGCGGUGAAAUGCGUAGAUAUCGAGAGGAACACCUGCGGCGAAGGCGGGUUGCUGGGCUGACACUGACGCUGAUGCGCGAAAGCCAGGGGAGCGAACGGG
Molecule: ribosomal RNA, 253 nt
Filed under: uncultured bacterium
Lineage: Bacteria
Description: partial 16S ribosomal RNA
Rfam family: Bacterial small subunit ribosomal RNA
Source: RNAcentral